AGAGUUUGAUCCUGGCUCAGAUUGAACGCUGGCGGCGUGCUUAACACAUGCAAGUCGUGCGGUAACAGGCGUAGCAAUACGUGCUGACGAGCGGCGAACGGGUGCGUAAUACAUGGGAAUCUGCCCUUUGGUGGGGAAUAACCCGGCGAAAGCCGGGCUAAUGCCGCAUAAGAUCUUCGGAUGAAAGCGGGGGAUCGUAAGACCUCGCGCCGAUGGAUGAGCCCAUGUCGGAUUAGCUAGUUGGUGAGGUAACGGCUCACCAAGGCGACGACCGUAGCUGGUCUGAGAGGACGGCCAGCCACACUGGGACUGAGACACGGCCCAGACUCCUACGGGAGGCAGCAGUGGGGAAUAUUGGACAAUGGGCGAAAGCCUGAUCCAGCGACGCCGCGUGUGUGAAGAAGGCCUGCGGGUUGUAAAGCACUUUCGAUGGGAACGAAAUGUGCCGGGCUAAUAUCCCGGCAAGCUGACGUUACUCAAUGAAGAAGCACCGGCUAACUCUGUGCCAGCAGCCGCGGUAAU
This 522-nucleotide ribosomal RNA is filed under the name uncultured soil bacterium. RNAcentral's name for it is "bacterial SSU rRNA". It matches the Rfam family "Bacterial small subunit ribosomal RNA", at positions 8 to 524 of the family's 1533-position model. The record is from RNAcentral.